RNAcentral lists this long non-coding RNA (4475 nucleotides) under Salvia miltiorrhiza (redroot sage). RNAcentral's name for it is "long non-coding RNA (SMIL_LNC008590)". Lineage: Eukaryota; Viridiplantae; Streptophyta; Magnoliopsida; Lamiales; Lamiaceae. The record is from RNAcentral.
GAUUGUACCCGUGACGUGACCCGUGCACCCUCUUCACCUUAAGUUUUAAUAUCAACCACCAUUUUCCCUUCUUUCUCUUUUUGCAGUAGUCUCUUGCCUCGCCUUCUUCGUCGUCACGGAAUCAGACCUUGAGCCGCCACAUUUUCUUUCCGGUGGCUUCAGCUGCCACGGCCAUCGCCGCGCAUAUAGGAUCCUAAAUUUUCUCUCUUUUUUGAAACUGUCGACGCCGUUACCGCCCUUAAAAUGCCACAUCUCCUUCUCCGAAAACCUGCCGCAAGGCCACCGCGUCGUGGCUGACCGCCUUUGCAAAAACCAACAUAGGCUCGCCGCCGGAUAAUUACACAUCGGCGCUGAACAAGUCCUUAUGUUCUUCAAUGCUUAGCGUUGUGAGUAUACAUAUUUUUUGAAACGUUAAUUUCUGGUAAAUUUAGGUUUUAUGUUUUGUGGAUCUGAUGAAUUUCUUUAGAAACUUAUGAGUAUGAGAUUGGGAAUUGGGGUUGAAUACUCUGAUGCAUUUUUCAUAUAUCUGAAGAUGGGUAGAUUUGAUUUGUGUAGAAAGAGGUGAGUAUUAAGAAUAUGACUCCUAAUCUUAAUGUCAUUGUUUGAUGAUAUUUUGUUUUAUUUAAACUUUGAGUUGUCAAUUAUUGUGAACAGAUGUGCUCCAUAUUUAGUUCUCAAUGACUCCACAUUUUUUGUUUUCAAUUCACAUUUAAUCCCAUUAUUGAAAUCUUUUAUUUGAGAUUGUUAUAUUUUUAUUACAUUAUUAUUGUACAUUUAACGUACUUUUUAAUUUUUAAUAUGUAAGGUAUCGGGUUCUUGAGUUCUUGAUGCAUACAAGCUCUGAAUAAUGAGUCAUCAACAAAAGGAUUUGUGAAAUUAGAGAUCUCUAGUGAAGUCAUUGAAACUUCUUUGGUAAUGAUAAUUUUUUUUAAUUUAUAUUUUUCAAGGUAUGAUUCAUGUUAGUAUUUUAAUAUUUUUUUUAUCAAUUUUAUGAAAUUAGAUGAAUAAUCUAGCUAGAUGAAAACAACACAAACAAUCAUCUGGGUGAUGCAAGAUUUAAAAAAAAAAUUCUGGGUGAUGCCUUUUGUAGAGGCUAAAAUCUACAAUUGAGGAUGACAUCUGCACGUCCGUAUAGAUUGGGCACUAGCAACCUAUCAACGCAAGAAUACGUAAGAGCCCUAGGUUGAGCACCGGGAGGGGGUGUCAACCGUAGAGCCUCCGACGUUCAAGUCAGUAACGGAAUAGCAAAAUAGAAUGACAAAUGAAUUGAAAUAAGAAAGAAAGACAGGUUGGAAUGUUUAGUUAUUCCAAGGUGUCAGUAGCGUGGGAGGGUGGGAACGGUGACGGCGAAUUGUGAUAAUGGAAGGUGGGAGGCAGAGAUAGGCCAAGUUGGCUAUCUCCGAUUUUGAAGAGCGAUCAGCGUGGUGGCAGAAUAGAGAGAAUUCAAGAAGUAGAUAGCAAGUAGGAUUUUCUGUGUCACCCUUUAUACCCUAGUCUGGAUGUUUAUAUAGAGGACAUCCAGCCGCUAAGGUUUCUACAGUCUGGCCUCGUCAUUGCCCUUAUCUCCCAGGUUGUUGCGAUUUGGACGGGAUCAUAAAGAUUUUUCCUCUAACUGUAGUUUGGUGGGAGAUAUCUUUUAGGGUCUGACGGCUGGGAGACGUCUUCUAAGGUUUGACGGCUAGGUCUUGUAAUUCGUCAAUCUAGGUUGACAAUACUCCUUGGGCCGCAUGCGGUAUAUGCAGCUUGGUUAUGGAUUCAAGUCGAUCCAUAGCUUUCCGGGCUAGAUGGGUCAAUCUGUUUGAUUAAUUGGGCCUUUUAGGGUCAUGCUAGAUUGGGGAGUUAGCUGCGCGGGCUAGCUUGAUGGGCCAGGCUGAGUGUGAAUUAUUCAGCCUGGCUCAGACAAGCUGGUCUUGAAGUGAAGUAUUCACCCUGAGUUAGUUCGGAUAUGUCUUAAUAAAUAUAAUUUGACUUAUCGGGUUGGGCGAACAAGUUUUCUUGAGUAAUUGGAUUAUCAUCGUUAUCGACCCAAGUUGGUCUGAAGCUUCUCGAACUGGAUGGACCGGAUUGCUUGACUCAUUGAAUCAUCUUGGAUUGUUAAUUGGUCUCGAGCCAGGUUGACGGAUUUUGCCCACUAUAGUUAGCCCCCCACUCUACAAUUAGAAUUUUUUAAUUGGAGAGUUAAUUUGUUAUAGCUAUUCCGUAUAUGUUUUCAAUGAUAUCAAUGUGCCAAUCCGCCAUAUCAUCCUAACAAUAGGAAUCAUCUGAACUUCUCAUAUGCGAAUCCGAACAAUGCCUUGCAGCCUCCAUUUCGUUUGUCUGUCUCUAGUGGAUGAAUGAUCAAUAAGCCCAGGAAGUCGUAUAUUGAAGAAAUGCUUAAACAAUUGAUGGUGCAAAUGACCAGUAAAAUGACAAGCUUGGAGAAUAUUGUGCCUGCUCUGGAUAAACAAUUGAAGAUGUUUGAAACUCAAGUGGGUUAGAUGGCGAAUCAAGCAGCUCCUAGCCAACAUGGAAAUCAACCCGAAGAGCCAAUGCAAUGCAAUUUUUGUGAGCAAUGAGACUUCAUCUAAAAAUCACUCGUCUACGACUGUCGUUGCAAUCACUAUGAUUUCAAUUAGGAGGAGGUAGGCAAGGAGCACACUUCUCUGUGGGAUGAACCAUACAAUUUUUCCCCAAGGGUUUACAUCCCUAAAGCUCAUUUUCCUUGAUGAUUUGCUAAGGUGAAGGCAGUUGCAAAGCAAAGUCCUACCAUGGUAACGUCCAAGAAUGUGAACGUCGAUAUGCCCCCACUUGAUGCAUUGCAAGACACACCCUAUGGUGAAAGUGCUAAAGGAAGUUGUCUCUCCUAAGAAGAAGUGUGAUAAAGUUUGAGACAACUCCAUUAUCUGAGGAGUGCAGUGUCGUGUUGCCAAAUGAGCUACCAUCCAAGCAGAAGGAUCUAAGUAGCUUCACAAUUGCUUGCGAGGUUGGAGGGGGAAAUUUUUUCUAAAGUUUUAUACUCCCUCCGUCCGCCAAAAGUGGACCACUUUGGCUAGGUACGAGAUUUAAUAAAAUUGGUGAUGAUUUUGAUGUAGUAGAAAAAGGGUCCCACCACUUUAUGAGAUGUGUGGUUGAAAUUGAAUUUGGGGUGGUUUUUUUGUAAAUAAAGGGUGUUUGUAAGGAUAAAAGAUUAAAGUGGAUGAUGGGACCAUUUCUAUAAAAAGGAAAGUGGGCCCCUCUAUGUCUUCAAAUCGAUUGAGAAUUGGAGAUCUCAAGCUGACACCUAUAGCUCUUCAAAAGGUAGAUCGAUCAACGACAUUGUAAGCUUCAUCACACCACCAUCUUUGAGCAAAAUAUUUUGUGAGUAAUGACAUGCAUAUCUUGUUUUUCUUCUUCCCUCCAACUUUAUUUCUAACAUAACACAAUAACCAUUACUUACAAUUUAUAGACACACACACACUCAUGCACACUUGACUCAAAUUCCCAAACCUAUUUUGUGCUAUAUACUAUAUAGCACGAAUGGGACUAAAUUUUUAUCUUUUGUUAUUAUUCAUGAAAAAUGAUCCCAUGAGAAUGAUCAAAUAUGAUGAGAAAUGAGAAUAAAUCUGGAACGUUAUAUUAAAAUCCUAUAAUUAAUUGAUAUUAUUUUUUUCAAAUCUACUAAUAUGCAUCUUGUAAUGCAUGAAUUACCGUUCCAACUUUGGUUCGAAUUCUAGAGGGGCAAAAAUUUCACCAUAUCAAUUGAAUACGUUAUUCGUGCAUUACAGAUAGCUUAUUCAUAAAUUAUAUUAUCUUAGGCUGAUUGGACUUUACACAAGUAUUAAGAAAAAUCAUUGAAAAUGAAAAUAUAUAAGUAAACUUCCUAAAAUGCUCAUAUUUAUUAUUUAAUGAUGAAUUAAAGUUGAAGUGACUUAAAUAUGGAUAUAAGCAAAUGAGUAAAAAAAUAUUGACAUCCAAAAAAGGAAAACAAAUCUAUAUAUGGGACAGAUGAAAUAUUAUUAGACUAAAUAUUCUAAAGUGUUUCAUAUAUAUUGUGGAGUACCAGGAUAGUCCAUGUACAUCGCACAAAUGGUAUACUAGCCCGUAAAAUAAUAAAAUUGUAUUUUAGUUACUCUUAAUACAUUUUUAUUGUGUGUGUGUCAUGGUCGUAGAAAAGCAAAAUUUUACUCUUUUCGUCUCAAUUAAGUUGAUCAACUUUUUUUUGGCACGAAAUUUUUGAAACUAGUGUUUUAAAUGUAUUUGGUGAUUAAUUCAAACAAAAAUGUGUGUUAGGCAAUAAAGUGAAUAAAUGAUUAAAUAUUUUUUUUAUUUAUAUUUAUUUCAUAUAAGAAAAUUUAUCAAUAUAAUUUGGACUAUUCAAAUAGAAAUAUUGAUCAAAUUAGAUGGAACGGAUGGGAUGGAGUAACUGAAUCGAGCCAAAUUAGAUUUGUGAAUAGGAACAAAAGACGUACUUACGUUGGAUAAUCGACAAUCAAGUCUGUUGCAUCCACACAAAAAAG